UACGGGGGGAGCAAGCGUUGUUCGGAUUUACUAGGCGUAAAGGGCGCGUAGGCGGCACUGCAAGUCAGUUGUGAAAUCUCCGGGCUUAACCCGGAAAGGUCAACUGAUACUGCAGGGCUAGAGUGCAGAAGGGGCAACUGGAAUUCUCGGUGUAGCGGUGAAAUGCGUAGAUAUCGAGAGGAACACCUGCGGCGAAGGCGGGUUGCUGGGCUGACACUGACGCUGAGGCGCGAAAGCCAGGGGAGCGAACGGG
RNAcentral lists this ribosomal RNA (253 nucleotides) under uncultured bacterium. RNAcentral's name for it is "partial 16S ribosomal RNA". It matches the Rfam family "Bacterial small subunit ribosomal RNA", at positions 524 to 776 of the family's 1533-position model. The record is from RNAcentral.